Gallus gallus (chicken) is the source of this 1294-nucleotide long non-coding RNA. RefSeq lists it as uncharacterized. The record is from RefSeq and is a predicted model, not a curated record. The transcript is spliced from 4 exons. NCBI's taxonomy places the organism in Eukaryota, Metazoa, Chordata, Aves, Galliformes, Phasianidae.
GUAAGGGCAGGAGAGGACACAGUCCCUGCUUUGCACCCCAGGGAGCCCAGGCUCCCCUCUGGGCACAGCAUGGCAGAAGGGAAUAAGCAAACAAGCAGACAUCACCGUGACUUAGGAAGAGGUCACGCAGAAGGAUCUUUGCUGGCAGACGAGACAGUGUGCUAAAGAUAACUGCUUGACAAACUAUAUUUACUCUCCCUUUCUGGGAGGACUUACAAGGGAUUUGGAGCAUUGUGCUAAUAGGAGUCAUUCAGUGCUGAGGUGGAGGAGGUGCCUCCUCCAGGCUCCUUCAUGUUUGUGUCUCUGCAAGCCAUAGCAAAGAGCAUCACAGAAAUCAGCCUCAUCUCCUUCUGGGAACACCCUCCAGCAACUGGGCGCUGACAUGCAGUGAUCAAAUGCAGCCUGGUAUCUAUGCUCUUGGGGCGUGCUAGGAAACCUCUGCAACCAACAGAGGGGCAAGAGGACAGGGAGAACCCUCCCCGACUGUUGUGACUUUUCAAUUGAUGCAAGCAAUUCCCUUUCCACCGCAAGGGAAAGAGGCACUUGAGAUUCUGUGUAUGCAGUAACCAUGACGAGUAUAGAAGUACAGAAACAGCUCUAGGCAGCACAUUAGCCAUCUGCACCGUCUCUAGCUCCUAAAUGUAAACACAAACACGGGCCCUAGAAAGGACUGCGCUCAUAAGCCAGAGGAAGCAUGGUUUCUGAAUCAAGGAAAAUGGGCUCCGGUUCAAGUUUGCAGAGGUACAGGAUGGGACCCAAGGGCCGAACAGCCAUCUAUUUUGCAUGGCAGCUGUUGCUUUCAAGCCAAAUUAAUCAAACUUCCCUCUUUGAUACCUUGUCCCCAGACUAUUUCACAAAGAAACCACAGCACUUCUCUGUAGUACUGCAAAAAUCCUGGAGCACUUGAAAUUUCCUGAGCGACCUGCAGCAGAAUUCACACUGCCGCUCCCUGUGCUGUUGAAAGCUGGCUCACACCAGGGCUCUUCAGAGCACGAAACCCACAGCAAUGCACGGUGCCAGCUGCAGCCUCCCUCUGCACCCACAAGCAGCUUUUCUGCACAGGGCAAUUACAAAACACACAAGCCACGGUGCAUGUUUGCAGGCCAGGAGGACAGGAGCUGCCUUGUUGGGACAGGGUGCACUGGCAGCAUGCUGCUCCAUCCUCAGACUGUGGUCCCUCUUCCCAACAGCCACCAGCAGCGCAUUGCGAGGGAACCCCAGCAGUGCUGUGAGCUCCCUUUGUUUUACAGAUGGUGGCAGAGCUCCUGGAAAUUAAACUAUUCUUCAUGUGUAA